RNAcentral lists this ribosomal RNA (492 nucleotides) under uncultured bacterium. RNAcentral describes it as "partial 16S ribosomal RNA". It matches the Rfam family "Bacterial small subunit ribosomal RNA", at positions 29 to 507 of the family's 1533-position model. The record is from RNAcentral.
AGUGAACGCUGGCGGUAGGCCUAACACAUGCAAGUCGAACGGCAGCACAGUAAGAGCUUGCUCUUACGGGUGGCGAGUGGCGGACGGGUGCGGAAUACAUCGGAAUCUACUUUUUCGUGGGGGAUAACGUAGGGAAACUUACGCUAAUACCGCAUACGACCUACGGGUGAAAGCAGGGGAUCUUCGGCCCUUGCGCGAUUGAAUGAGCCGAUGUCGGAUUAGCUAGUUGGCGGGGUAAAGGCCCACCAAGGCGACGAUCCGUAGCUGGUCUGAGAGGAUGAUCAGCCACACUGGAACUGAGACACGGUCCAGACUCCUACGGGAGGCAGCAGUGGGGAAUAUUGGACAAUGGGCGCAAGCCUGAUCCAGCCAUACCGCGUGGGUGAAGAAGGCCUUCGGGUUGUAAAGCCCUUUUGUUGGGAAAGAAAAGCAGCAGGUUAAUACCCCGCUGUUCUGACGUUACCCAAAGAAUAAGCACCGGCUAACUUCGUG